Molecule: long non-coding RNA, 1435 nt
Organism: Hyaena hyaena (striped hyena)
Lineage: Eukaryota; Metazoa; Chordata; Mammalia; Carnivora; Hyaenidae
Exons: 3
Source: RefSeq, a predicted model, not a curated record
UCCAGAGAUGAGGAGAAGCUUCCCAUCAGUUCACUUCAGGAAGAGCACGAACCUUCUCCCUCACAUCUCCAUCAGCAGCAGCGGGUCAGCUCUGCUGGCUACAGACCUGUUCUCUGUUAUCAAAGUCUGUACCAGGCACAUUAACACAUACGUGCCCAACCGUGGGCAGAUCGAGCCAUCACGGAGAGCUUGAGAUUGGAAGCAGCUGCGGAUCAUGAUGACCCUAAGAUAUGCCUGCUUUGUCUCUGUUAAGGAAUUAGACACAAUACUUUCAUCCUUAAAUCAGGUCAAAAGAAAGAAAGAAAGAAAACGCCUGCAGAUCCUUAGCGGUACGUACUUUCUGGUGCAGUAUUCAACCAUUUAUGGCCUCCUUGCUGUCGGCAGGUGUUUGGUAUCUUCCAGAUAUGGUUUGAACUUGGAACAGUCUUAUGGAAAACUUGAGAUCGUAUAAGAACGGGCUCACAGCUCUCCCCCACACACUGUACCAGAAACUCAUACUGAUGUUGGCUUAUCAAGUUACAGACUAUGUUGGUUCUCAUCAGUCAACAGGUGAGUCAGCAAUCCAGAGAGGUCUCCAAGGACCGGGGUCUGUCCAUCUCGGCGGUGUCUUCUGAGCGGACUUCUGCCUGAGGGUAUUGAGGGUAUUGAGGGUACCCUGAGGAGGGUAAUUCUUCCUGGGCAUUGAAGGCCACUUGGGUUCAGAAGAAAAAAAUCAGGCUUUGGAAGCUUUCUUAGAGGAGCAAGCAGGAAGUUUUCUAGAAAACUCCAGCAGACCCUUUCCGGAAUCUCCUUGGCCCCAACUGUAUCACACGUGUGCUCUUGAUAGAUCGCCGCCAGGAAAAAUGGCCGGGGUCAGCUCCUCCAGUCCCGUGCAAAGUGAGGGGGACAGGAGGCUCAUGAGAAGUCCAGGACCUUUCCUGGGGAGGACUGGGUCGUGGAUGCCGUGGGCAGUGAGCGAUACCACUGAUGUCUAGGAAAACCCCACCAUCUCCCCUCUGCCAGCCUCACCGAAAGAAAACUCUGUUUGUUCCACCCUUAGGUCUGGACGCACAAGCCAUGAAAACAUACCCAUGGAAAGAUAGGAACGAGGAUGCUCAGAGCAGCUCUAACCCUAAUAGCUCUAAACUGGAAACGACUCAAGCAUCCAUCAAUAGGAAAAUUAAUAAAUGAACAGUAGGCUAUCCACGCAGUGGACUAUCACUCAGCAAUAAAAAGGGAGCCACACCAGGCAUGCCACGGCACGGGCAUUAUUAAUUAGAUGCGUCACUUUCAGAAGUAUCCAAGUUCCAAAGCCACCAAAAAAUGGUUGAUCCCGGAUGUGGACCAAAGGUUGGGAGCAAGAGACCAAUGACAGAUACUACAUUCUCAACCUUUUCUGUAUGUUUGGUAAUUUUAAAAGUCAUAUAUUAUUUAGUUUAACAAAACGUUAAGGGUC